CCGAUGUUGACCGUCCCCGGCACGUGGCAGCAGGUGCAAUCGUUAGAAUUCGCCCCUCAUCAGUUCUUGACAUGUGCACAUCCUACCAACACCACAUGCCUGCUGAUGAACAAGACCGACUGCACGGAAAAGGAACUGUUGUCUCGCUGAAGACUCCGGUUCUCCACCUCGUGCCCAUCUGCCACCUGUGUCCACUCACCAGCGGUUCAUGUCAUUUCUGAGAGGGCCUCAUGAUCAGAUACUUGCACUGUGUUAACUGGAAAGUACCAGUCCGUUCUAAAGAGAUUGUGAUUUCCCUCUUGGCCUUCUGCUUGCGACCGGAGUUGAUAUUCCCAAGGAAACAUCGGACCCUUGUAUUCGGCGGUGGCCCUCCAAUUGUAAACUUGCUCCAGAUGCGACUAAAAUCAUCCGGAUGAUUUCAGAACAAAAAGAAUAAAUACGAACAUGAUCUUCCCACUUUCCCCAGAACUAUUUGGCUAAAUAAUGAAUAAAUAUUUGGAGUAAGACUGGAAAUCUAUCUGCCAAGGUAUGCGUUAGGCCCUUUUCCUUCAUGAAACUCAAGCGUUAAAUGCCACCAUUUAUCUGUUGUUUCUCCCAUCCUCCCAGAAAGAUUUUUUAAAGCUUCUCCCAUGUAGAGUUUGGGCAUCAAACGCCUAAUCAGAGCCUCUGUCGCUCCUAAUUCCAUCUAAAUACACUCUUCAUUGAAUCAUCUUGCCGCUAAUUCCAAAUCUAUAAUAGAAGACCCUUUGGGGGGUUCCAUCCUGACAUUCCUGAGGCCAGCUCCCUUCUGAAGACUUUCCCGAAAUGAAGAUAU
Mustela erminea (ermine) is the source of this 814-nucleotide long non-coding RNA. RefSeq lists it as uncharacterized. NCBI's taxonomy places the organism in Eukaryota, Metazoa, Chordata, Mammalia, Carnivora, Mustelidae. The record is from RefSeq and is a predicted model, not a curated record. The transcript is spliced from 3 exons.